Molecule: ribosomal RNA, 253 nt
Filed under: uncultured bacterium
Lineage: Bacteria
Description: partial 16S ribosomal RNA
Rfam family: Bacterial small subunit ribosomal RNA
Source: RNAcentral
UACGGAGGGUGCGAGCGUUGUCCGGAAUCAUUGGGCGUAAAGGGCGCGUAGGUGGCCCGGUCAGUUCGUGGUGAAAGCGCGGGGCUCAACUCCGCGUCGGCCAUGAAUACUGCUGGGCUUGAGCACUGUAGAGGCAGGCGGAAUUCCGGGUGUAGCGGUGGGAUGCGUAGAGAUCCGGAAGAACACCGGUGGCGAAGGCGGCCUGCUGGGCAGUGGCUGACACUGAGGCGCGACAGCGUGGGGAGCAAACAGG